RNAcentral lists this ribosomal RNA (397 nucleotides) under uncultured bacterium. RNAcentral's name for it is "partial 16S ribosomal RNA". It matches the Rfam family "Bacterial small subunit ribosomal RNA", at positions 523 to 918 of the family's 1533-position model. The record is from RNAcentral.
AUACGUAGGUGGCAAGCGUUGUCCGGAAUUAUUGGGCGUAAAGCGCGCGCAGGUGGUUCCUUAAGUCUGAUGUGAAAGCCCCCGGCUCAACCGGGGAGGGUCAUUGGAAACUGGGGAACUUGAGUGCAGAAGAGGAUAGUGGAAUUCCAAGUGUAGCGGUGAGAUGCGUAGAGAUUUGGAGGAACACCAGUGGCGAAGGCGACUGUCUGGUCUGUAACUGACACGGAGGCGCGAAAGCGUGGGGAGCAAACAGGAUUAGAUACCCUGGUAGUCCACGCCGUAAACGAUGAGUGCUAAGUGUUGGGGGGUUUCCGCCCCUCAGUGCUGCAGCUAACGCAUUAAGCACUCCGCCUGGGGAGUACGGUCGCAAGACUGAAACUCAAAUGAAUUGACGGGG